GACGAACGCUGGCGGCGUGCUUAACACAUGCAAGUCGAGCGGUAAGGCCCUUUCGGGGGUACGACGAGCGGCGAACGGGUGGGUAACACGUGGGUGACCUGCCCUCAGCUCUGGGAUAAGCCUGGGAAACCGGGUCUAAUACUGGAUAUGACUCCAUGACGCAUGUUGUGGGGUGGAAAGCCUUGUGCGGCUGAGGAUGGGCCCGCGGCCUAUCAGCUUGUUGGUGGGGUGANGGCCUACCAAGGCGACGACGGGUAGCCGGCCUGAGAGGGCGACCGGCCACACUGGGACUGAGACACGGCCCAGACUCCUACGGGAGGCAGCAGUGGGGAAUCUUGCGCAAUGGGCGAAAGCCUGACGCAGCGACGCCGCGUGAGGGAUGACGGCCUGGUU
Molecule: ribosomal RNA, 393 nt
Filed under: uncultured bacterium
Lineage: Bacteria
Description: bacterial SSU rRNA
Rfam family: Bacterial small subunit ribosomal RNA
Source: RNAcentral